GCCCGCGUAGCUCAACGGAAGAGCACCUGGUUCACAUCCAGGGGGUCGGAGGUUCGACACCUUCCGCGGGCACCG
RNAcentral lists this transfer RNA (75 nucleotides) under Micromonospora sediminicola. RNAcentral's name for it is "tRNA_Val_CAC". It matches the Rfam family "tRNA". From Rfam's summary of the family: Transfer RNA (tRNA) molecules are approximately 80 nucleotides in length. Their secondary structure includes four short double-helical elements and three loops (D, anti-codon, and T loops). Lineage: Bacteria; Bacillati; Actinomycetota; Actinomycetes; Micromonosporales; Micromonosporaceae. RNAcentral also lists the same sequence under 2 other names. The record is from RNAcentral.